RNAcentral lists this long non-coding RNA (943 nucleotides) under Equus caballus (horse). RNAcentral describes it as "lncRNA (ENSECAG00000050233.1)". The record is from RNAcentral. Lineage: Eukaryota; Metazoa; Chordata; Mammalia; Perissodactyla; Equidae.
GGCAACUAGCUCAGCUGAGACAGUGAAAAUUGUUAACAUGCUCCAGCACUUACUGGGGGUGCCGGACACAUUUCAACAGCCAACUCAUUAAUCUUCCCGGCGUCCCCACAAGGAGGUCCCCAUUUGCAAAGGAGGAAGCUGAAGCCCAACCAUCUGCCAAAUCCACAGAGAUUUGUACUCCCCCAGCUCUGCCGAUGGAUGUUAAUCUGGGUCAGAUCAAGUGCAAACAAGCCUCAGGUGGACCCCGGAGGGCUGGGUUGUCCAGCACAGGCACAGCCGUAUGUGAGCCUCAAUUGAGUGUGGGCAGCACCUGAGGGGCCCCUGGGUAACCCCCCACUGCCUCCUGAAUGUCCUCCCCACUGCUUAGAGGCGUCCUUCCCCUCCCAGCCGAGAAGGGCGGGCUGGCCCUGAGUGCUCCAGUGGAAACUCCUGGACCCUCCUUCAUCCAACAGUGACCAGGUACCAGCUCUUGCCCUCCUUCCAGGGCCUCCCCUGCAGAAUAACCUUCCUGAGGACAGAUGCUGAGCCUUGACUCUCAGACUCCGGGAGCAAAGUCCACCUCCUGCGGGACGCAAUGACGGCUUGCUGCCUUCACAGAUAAGUGCGAUGGGAAGGCAGAGCCCAGCAGAAGGAGAAUUUGGUUCCAUUCCUGAGGUCUUUGACUGGGACCUACAUGAGUGCGAGAAUAAUGAAAAAGAGAGAGAGAAGGGGGCAAGAGUACACCAGGGUGUUUAAUAGAGUGUGAUCGUAUCCUGUAAAUAAGACAGUGCUGACAAAAGGAAGAAAAGCCCGCCCCUGUGUGAAUGAACUGAGUAAACAGCUUACUCCUUCUGCCAAAAGGUUGGCAAGGAGUAGAAAGUAAGAAGAAGGAAAAUACCAGCAAAUGAGAGCCUUGGUUCGGGAAUGCAAUGUAUCUGGAGAACAAAAUUAUGGCAUAUGAAAG